Molecule: ribosomal RNA, 443 nt
Filed under: Ammodytes tobianus (small sandeel)
Lineage: Eukaryota; Metazoa; Chordata; Actinopteri; Uranoscopiformes; Ammodytidae
Description: partial small subunit ribosomal RNA
Rfam family: Bacterial small subunit ribosomal RNA
Source: RNAcentral
CAAAGGCUUGGUCCUGACUUUACUAUCAACUUUAGCUAAACUUACACAUGCAAGUAUCCGCACCCCUGUGAGAAUGCCCUACAGUUCCCUGCCCGGGAACAAGGAGCCGGUAUCAGGCACACGAUUGUUAGCCCACGACACCUUGCUUAGCCACACCCCCAAGGGAAAUCAGCAGUGAUAGACAUUAAGCCAUAAGUGAAAACUUGACUUAGUUAAAGCUAAGAGGGCCGGUAAAACUCGUGCCAGCCACCGCGGUUAUACGAGAGGCCCAAGCUGAUAGACCCCGGCGUAAAGAGUGGUUAAGGUGAAUAUAAAACUAAGGCCGAACUCUCUCAUGGCUGUUAUACGCACCCGAGAGUAAGAAGAUCAACUACGAAAGUGGCUUUACAACCCCUGAACCCACGAAAGCUAAGGAACAAACUGGGAUUAGAUACCCCACUAUG